UACGGAGGGUGCGAGCGUUGUCCGGAAUCACUGGGCGUAAAGGGCGCGUAGGUGGCUCACGAAAGCGUGCGGUGAAAGCCCGGGGCUCAACCCCGGGUCGGCCGUGCGGACUGCGGGGCUCGAGCACUGUAGGGGCAGAUGGAAUUCCGGGUGUAGCGGUGGAAUGCGUAGAGAUGACAUAGAACACCUAUUGCGAAGGCAGCUUACUACGCCUAUAUUGACGCUGAGGCACGAAAGCGUGGGGAUCAAACAGG
RNAcentral lists this ribosomal RNA (254 nucleotides) under uncultured bacterium. RNAcentral describes it as "partial 16S ribosomal RNA". It matches the Rfam family "Bacterial small subunit ribosomal RNA", at positions 524 to 776 of the family's 1533-position model. The record is from RNAcentral.